GCAAGACCUCGACAAAGCGGAAGGCCAGGGCAGCGGGAGCCAGCAGGCGCGGGGCCUCCGAGGGCUCGGCCGACAGGCACAGCUGCACGAAAUUCUUGUCGAAGUGCAGGAAGCCUCUCACUUGAACCAGGACCUCAGAGACCUUGGCUUGGCUUUCACUGAUGCCCUGCUGGCCAGAGCUGAUGCCAGAAUGGUCGAGAACAACCACCAGUGGCCCAGUCUGGAGGCAGCCCUCAGUGGGGCAGCUCAGGAGAGAAGAGUGGAUCGUGGAGGGGCACAACCCCAGCCUUGCCUGCCUGGCCUCAGCCCUGCCUCCCACUGGGCCAGCCACCGCUAUGCUUCGUUGCUCUUUAAACAGAUGAGAAAAUGUUCUUCUUCCCUUCCCAAUGAUUUAUUUGGCCCGAAGCCUGGGCAGGUUUCCUUACAGCCAGGAAGGCCUAAGAAUACCCCUCCCUCAGCCCCUGCUGGCCACUGCCAAUCAGCCAGGUAGCCAUGGCAGCCCAAAGCUGCAGGCACCAAGAUCUCCUUACAGUCCCUCAGCCCUACCCCAGAGCACUAUCAGGGGCUCAUACUGUCUCCCAAAGACAUCCAAAUCCACAUGACAGUCUUCUACCAGGGGCUGCCCAAGGCUCUUAUGACCAAUACCUCACUGCUCUAGAUGUCACAGAUCCUGGAAUGGUACCGUGGAAAGGGUGGACAAGCCCUCUGCCUGUGAAAAGUCCUGCACAUCUAGCCUCUAUCCUUCCUGCUACAGAUGUCAAAGGGGUUCAGAGCAGGGGCAAAAGCUGGGUGUUUGUUGUUUUCUUGGUGCUGUAGAUUAGGGGGCAAAGGGAAGAUUGGUUGCUCCCUACCCAAACCUUCCAGAAGGUCAGUGCGUGGUUUGUGUUUGUGUGCAGGGCUCUGAGCAGUAGCUGCAUUCUCUGGCCCCUGGCCCCUGGGGCAGAGGGUAUAGAAGACCCUUAGAGUCCUUGGUGAUCUUCCCAUCUUAUACUGAAGGGUAUGCACAAGAGCCUUCACUCACUCAUUCAACAAUUAUUUAUUGAGUGUUUACUAUGUUCUAGCCGGUGGGAUCCAGGCCAUCAGCAAGUCCCGUUGCUUCUACCUCCCAAAAUAUCCCAAAUCUAUUCACUCUUCACAUCCCCACUGCCAACAGAAUCCAAGCCACCAUCAUCUGGUGUCUGGAUUCUCCUUAUUUAAUCUCUAGGCUCCCACUUCUACCUUCCCACCCCAAUCCAUUCUCCCCAGAGCCCACAGCGCCAUCUUUGCAACAUGUAAAUUAGAAUACCUCUUCUUAAGCCCUCCAAUGGCUUCUCACUGUUAUUAGCACCAUGACCUUCCAGGCCCUUCAUGAUCUGGCCCUUAUCAGCCUCUUAAGUCAUCUCCACUACCACACCCCCACACUAUGGUGGAAUAACACAGGCCUCCUUGCUGUUCUUGGAAAACUGCAAACCUUUCUUCCCCAGCACUUGCCAUGGCUGACUCCUCAUCAGCAAGGUCUCAGUGCCAACAUCACAUCCUCUAGGAGGCCUCCCCUGAUUACACUAAAGCAGCCCUAUCCCCCCACCUGCAAAGCUCCACCCCAUGGCCUUGUUGUAUUUCCAUCAUAGCAUUUGCUGCUCUGCAAACAUGUUGUCUUCUUACACACACGCCAUCUGUUUGCCCCACUGGACUAUGGGUUCUGUACAGGCAGGGACCUUGCCCACCCAUUCACAGCUGAAUCCCCUGGCACAAAGCAGUAUGCCAGUACAUGGUAGGUACUCAGUAAAUACCUGCUGAGUGAAUGAAUGGUGGAAGGGCAAGCAAAGACCUCACAGAGCUUCUGUUCUGU
This is a long non-coding RNA of Manis javanica (Malayan pangolin), 1828 nucleotides long. RefSeq lists it as uncharacterized. NCBI's taxonomy places the organism in Eukaryota, Metazoa, Chordata, Mammalia, Pholidota, Manidae. The record is from RefSeq and is a predicted model, not a curated record.